Long non-coding RNA from Homo sapiens (human), 2198 nucleotides. Ensembl annotates it as long intergenic non-protein coding RNA 2125. Lineage: Eukaryota; Metazoa; Chordata; Mammalia; Primates; Hominidae. The record is from Ensembl.
AAAGCGCUUGCAGCCGGGAGCUGCGCGGCCGCGCUGAGAGUCACGUGGUGCGCCAGGAAGCCGCCUAGCUUCUUGGAGAGCUCACUGCCUCGCUCCGCUCCUUUCCUGGCGGGAGGCUCUGAGCCACCCCCACCUGCGCAGGGCGGCCAGGGGUUAAAACAAAGUCACAAGUCUGACCCACACUCAAAGGGAGAAGAUUAUGCAAGAGCAAAAGCACGAGAUGGAAACCAUGGGGCCAUCUUAUAGUCUGUCUGCCGGAGAAAGAUGAACACAAAUCCUGUGACACCAGGUGGAGGGUGACUAUGGAACAUGGAACACACGCAGUGUAAUAAUGUAGGAGCAGAGUCCUCCAUUCUCCUGUGACACCCAUUCCCAUUAUACACUUAGAACCUCCAAGCUUGUGCAUAAUUAUCAAUGGAUAAGAGACAGAAGAAGCAAUAUACACAGCAUCUGGGAGGCUCCUAAUCCACAGAUAAGGCUUCCUAAGCUUCCUUUCCUAUGCUAGACAUAUUUUGGUGAUGGAGUAUGACAAGCACACGGGACACAUUAGCCAUGGAGGCUGCUGAGUUCUGGAGUUCCACUAGACACAUGGUCUUGCUGUGGUUAUAUGUAUAACUUGCAUGCUUCAGCUCAGCUUCCCAUGAUUUUCAGGAUAAUUUAAUAUGAGCAGUCUAAAUAGACCAGGACGUAAUGCUGAAAUGAUUUCUAGAUCAGUAGUCAGCGCGUAGCCAACCCUUUCAGGACCCUCAUUUGUCUUCUAUGUUAGUGUAUUCCAUCAGUCGAUAUUUGCAAAGAAUUCUGUUCAGAGUCAAAACUUCUUCAGAGAUCCCUAAGGAGGGAGGAAUAAAUUACAGGCCCAUGGUUACUCUUUCAUAUAAUAUCUAAAAGGCCAUUAUGUGAAAAGAUUGUCUCUGAAAUCUAAUUCUUGCCUCAGCCAGGUCAAUUUAGGAAAACUGCACUGGCAGCAGCCAGCUCUGUAAUGCUGCCCAAGCAGAUAAAAGCUUGUAGAUUUGAAUAAGGCCCAGACCGCGCUUGCUGCCUCUGUGGAAACAGAUGUUUUCCUGUGUGAAAACAGCCACUUGCCUAUGGACAAAGCUUUUUAUAAGCUGGUCGUGGACACAGAUGUCUUCAAUUUUUUUUUUCACUGUAAUGAUACUGCAGUGAACAGCUUCUGAGAUGGCCCCUAGCAAUCCUGCCUCCACAUCCAGGCCUUUGUCCCUUCCCUGUGAAUGGGUGCUGGCUGAGUAGUUUGUUUCAAACCAGCAGAAUAUGGCAAAAGUUGUCACUCCCAUGAUUAGGUUACAUGAUAUAGUCGAGUAGAAUGUAUUCCUUUGCUGGCUUUGAUGAGGCAAGUUGUUUUAUCAGGAAGGUCCACAUGGCAAGAAACUGAGGGCAACCUCUGACCAACAGCCAGCUAGAAAACGAACCCUCAACCCAACAGCUCAUGGGAACUGGAUCCUGCCAAUGAUCAUAUAAGUGGGCUUGGCAGUUGAUCCUUUCCCAGUCAAAACUUCAGACAAGAACACAACCCUGGCUGACAACUUGAUUACAGCCUAUGAGAAAUUCUAAAGGAGAGAGCCCAGGUAACACUCAUAGAAACUGUCUCAUUGGCCGGAUGCAGUGGUUAACACCUGUAAUCCUAGAACUUUGGGAGGCCAAGGCAGAAGGAUUGCUUGACACCAGGAGGUUGAGGGGAAGGAGUGGCUUUGGGUAUAAGUGCAAUUUAGGCUGAAUCCUGGAGGAAACCUAACGUUCCUUUGAAAGAUUUGAGGUUUAUAAUUAAAAGCAGAGAUUCCAUAGACUUGGCAAUUUAAAAAUACCAGAUGUUGCAUUGUGAGCAGGAGGAUAUCAGUUCAGCACCUCUACCCCCCAAAAAGAAAAGAAAUUCAGGGAGGGAGCAAAGAAACAUUCCUAAAAUGAAUUGGAGCUGGAGGCCAUUAUCCUAAGUGAGUUAAUGCAAGAAGAGAAAACCAAAUACUGCAUGCUCUCAUUUAUAAGUGGGAGCUUAACACUGAGCACACAUGGACAUAAACAUGAGAAUUACAGAUACUAUGGAAUUCUAGAGUGGGGAGGGAGGGAGGGAGGGAGCAUGGGUUGACAAACUACUUAUUGGGUGCUGUGCUCGCUACCUGGGUGCAAUAUGCCUGUGUAAAAAAACUGCCUAUAUAUGCCCUGUAUCUAAAAUAAAAGUUGAAAUU